GAGUGGCGAACUGGUGAGUAACACGUGGGAAACCUGCCCAGAAGCGGGGGAUAACACCUGGAAACAGAUGCUAAUACCGCAUAACAACUUGGACCGCAUGGUCCGAGUUUGAAAGAUGGCUUCGGCUAUCACUUUUGGAUGGUCCCGCGGCGUAUUAGCUAGAUGGUGAGGUAACGGCUCACCAUGGCAAUGAUACGUAGCCGACCUGAGAGGGUAAUCGGCCACAUUGGGACUGAGACACGGCCCAAACUCCUACGGGAGGCAGCAGUAGGGAAUCUUCCACAAUGGACGAAAGUCUGAUGGAGCAACGCCGCGUGAGUGAAGAAGGGUUUCGGCUCGUAAAACUCUGUUGUUAAAGAAGAACAUAUCUGAGAGUAACUGUUCAGGUAUUGACGGUAUUUAACCAGAAAGCCACGGCUAACUACGUGCCAGCAGCCGCGGUAAUACGUAGGUGGCAAGCGUUGUCCGGAUUUAUUGGGCGUAAAGCGAGCGCAGGCGGUUUUUUAAGUCUGAUGUGAAAGCCUUCGGCUCAACCGAAGAAGUGCAUCGGAAACUGGGAAACUUGAGUGCAGAAGAGGACAGUGGAACUCCAUGUGUAGCGGUGAAAUGCGUAGAUAUAUGGAAGAACACCAGUGGCGAAGGCGGCUGUCUGGUCUGUAACUGACGCUGAGGCUCGAAAGUAUGGGUAGCAAACAGGAUUAGAUACCCUGGUAGUCCAUACCGUAAACGAUGAAUGCUAAGUGUUGGAGGGUUUCCGCCCUUCAGUGCUGCAGCUAACGCAUUAAGCAUUCCGCCUGGGGAGUACGGCCGCAAGGCUGAAACUCAAAGGAAUUGACGGGGGCCCGCACAAGCGGUGGAGCAUGUGGUUUAAUUCGAAGCUACGCGAAGAACCUUACCAGGUCUUGACAUACUAUGCAAAUCUAAGAGAUUAGACGUUCCCUUCGGGGACAUGGAUACAGGUGGUGCAUGGUUGUCGUCAGCUCGUGUCGUGAGAUGUUGGGUUAAGUCCCGCAACGAGCGCAACCCUUAUUAUCAGUUGCCAGCAUUAAGUUGGGCACUCUGGUGAGACUGCCGGUGACAAACCGGAGGAAGGUGGGGAUGACGUCAAAUCAUCAUGCCCCUUAUGACCUGGGCUACACACGUGCUACAAUGGAUGGUACAACGAGUUGCGAACUCGCGAGAGUAAGCUAAUCUCUUAAAGCCAUUCUCAGUUCGGAUUGUAGGCUGCAACUCGCCUACAUGAAGUCGGAAUCGCUAGUAAUCGCGGAUCAGCAUGCCGCGGUGAAUACGUUCCCGGGCCUUGUACACACCGCCCGUCACACCAUGAGAGUUUGUAACACCCAAAGUCGGUGGGGUAACCUUUUAGGAACCAGCCGCCU
Molecule: ribosomal RNA, 1379 nt
Filed under: Lactiplantibacillus plantarum
Lineage: Bacteria; Bacillati; Bacillota; Bacilli; Lactobacillales; Lactobacillaceae
Description: Lactobacillus plantarum 16S ribosomal RNA
Rfam family: Bacterial small subunit ribosomal RNA
Source: RNAcentral